AUAAUGGAGAGUUUGAUCCUGGCUCAGGACGAACGCUGGCGGCGUGCCUAAUACAUGCAAGUCGAGCGGAAAAUUUGGAGCUUGCUCCAAGUUUUCAGCGGCGGACGGGUGAGUAACACGUGGGCAACCUGCCCUGCAGUUCGGGAUAACUCCGGGAAACCGGGGCUAAUACCGGAUAGGUUCGGCUCCCGCCUGGGAGCCGACGGAAAGACGGCUCACGC
RNAcentral lists this ribosomal RNA (221 nucleotides) under Planococcus shenhongbingii. RNAcentral's name for it is "partial 16S ribosomal RNA". It matches the Rfam family "Bacterial small subunit ribosomal RNA", at positions 1 to 216 of the family's 1533-position model. Lineage: Bacteria; Bacillati; Bacillota; Bacilli; Caryophanales; Caryophanaceae. The record is from RNAcentral.